UGGGGAAUUUUGGACAAUGGGCGCAAGCCUGAUCCAGCCAUGCCGCGUGCAGGAUGAAGGCCUUCGGGUUGUAAACUGCUUUUGUGCGGAACGAAAAGACUCCUUCUAAUAAAGGGGGUCCAUGACGGUACCGUAAGAAUAAGCACCGGCUAACUACGUGCCAGCAGCCGCGGUAAUACGUAGGGUGCGAGCGUUAAUCGGAAUUACUGGGCGUAAAGCGUGCGCAGGCGGUUUUGUAAGACAGAGGUGAAAUCCCCGGGCUCAACCUGGGAAUUGCCUUUGUGACUGCAAGGCUUGAGUGCGGCAGAGGGGGAUGGAAUUCCGCGUGUAGCAGUGAAAUGCGUAGAUAUGCGGAGGAACACCGAUGGCGAAGGCAAUCCCCUGGGCCUGCACUGACGCUCAUGCACGAAAGCGUGGGGAGCAAACA
RNAcentral lists this ribosomal RNA (427 nucleotides) under uncultured bacterium. RNAcentral's name for it is "bacterial SSU rRNA". It matches the Rfam family "Bacterial small subunit ribosomal RNA", at positions 355 to 774 of the family's 1533-position model. The record is from RNAcentral.